AUGUCGUCGUCGUCUUCGUCCUCGGCGGGGGCGGGCUCCGCGCUGGGCGGCUCCCACGCCGGCCUCGCCCUCGCCGCCACCGCCAUGGCGCUCUCCGGCACCCUCGUCCUCUUCUCGCUCUGCCGCGCCAAGCAGACGGACCACCACCUCGUCUCCUCCGACGCUGCCGCCACGUCCCCGUCUCCUGCUCGGCUCCGCCCCUGCAUCUCCUCCUCCGAGAAGCGGAAGCGAGAGAAGGCGCGGCGCGGGAGCAUGAAGCGGGUGCGCUUCGCCGCCGACGUCGUUGACCACGGCCCAGCCCGCUCGGCGCCGGAGGAGGAGGCGGCGCCCGAGCCGUCCUGCAGGGGCGCCGCGAUGCCGGCGAAUCGGGAGGCGCUGUACCGCGGAAUGCUCCGCGGCCGCUCCAUGCUCAGGACCGCCUGCUCCUACUAA
This 432-nucleotide ribosomal RNA is filed under the name Triticum aestivum (bread wheat). RNAcentral's name for it is "partial small subunit ribosomal RNA". The record is from RNAcentral. Lineage: Eukaryota; Viridiplantae; Streptophyta; Magnoliopsida; Poales; Poaceae.